UGGGGAAUAUUGCACAAUGGAGGGAACUCUGAUGCAGCGACGCCGCGUGAACGAAGAAGGCUUUCGAGUCGUAAAGUUCUUUUAUAUGGGAAGAUAAUGACGGUACCAUAAGAAAAAGCUCCGGCUAACUACGUGCCAGCAGCCGCGGUAAUACGUAGGGGGGUAGCGUUGUCCGGAAUCACUGGGCGUAAAGGUUUCGCAGGCGGAAAUGCAGGUCAGGUGUAAAAGGCAGUAGCUUAACUACUGUAAGCAUUUGAAACUGCAUAUCUUGAGAAGAGUAGUGGUAAGUGGAAUUUUUAGUGUAGCGGUGAAAUGCGUAGAUAUUAAAAAGAAUGCCGGUGGCGAAGGCGGCUUACUGGGCUCAUUCUGACGCUGAGGAACGAAAGCGUGGGUAGCAAACAGG
Molecule: ribosomal RNA, 403 nt
Filed under: bacterium
Lineage: Bacteria
Description: partial 16S ribosomal RNA
Rfam family: Bacterial small subunit ribosomal RNA
Source: RNAcentral